Molecule: long non-coding RNA, 384 nt
Organism: Salmo salar (Atlantic salmon)
Lineage: Eukaryota; Metazoa; Chordata; Actinopteri; Salmoniformes; Salmonidae
Source: RefSeq, a predicted model, not a curated record
UUGUCUCAUUGAGGACACAGUAGCUUUGCAGCUCUGAAGACAGAACAGCUAAAAGAUAAUCUGGGAAUCCUUUAUCCCCCUAUUGAGAGUUUUGAAGACUCCAAUCUUGCCGAGUCUAUACAUCAAGAGGACAACGGGGUAGGAAACACAACAUCGACUCCUCUGAAAAACAGGCAUCAAACAACCAAAGACUCCUCCAAGGCCUAUACAAACACAGAAGACCCAAUACAACAAGAGGAAGAGGAGGAAGAGGACGCUGAAGACAUACUGAGUAAAACACCUAAACCGGUUGAUACAUUCAAUGGUGUUAAUGUCGAGGAUGAUGAGGUCAAUGAUGGUUCUGAUGAAGGGUUGAGCUAUGAUGAGGAUGAUGUGUUGAUGAGG